AUACGCUCAUAUCAGGUUGAAACACCGGUUCUCGUACAACCAUCGAAGUUAAGCAACGUCGAGCUUGGUCAGUACCGAGUUGGAUAACUAGUUGGGAAUACCACGUUCUGUAAG
This is a non-coding RNA of Acanthosepion pharaonis, 114 nucleotides long. The record is from the annotation of a GenBank genome assembly. NCBI's taxonomy places the organism in Eukaryota, Metazoa, Mollusca, Cephalopoda, Sepiida, Sepiidae.